GCUCCGGUGGCCUAGUGGUUAGAGCGUCUGCGUCGGAUGUGGGAGGUCGCGGGUUCGAACCCCGGUCGAGUCA
This is a non-coding RNA of Potamilus streckersoni, 73 nucleotides long. NCBI's taxonomy places the organism in Eukaryota, Metazoa, Mollusca, Bivalvia, Unionida, Unionidae. The record is from the annotation of a GenBank genome assembly.